Molecule: ribosomal RNA, 242 nt
Filed under: uncultured anaerobic ammonium-oxidizing bacterium
Lineage: Bacteria
Description: partial 16S ribosomal RNA
Rfam family: Bacterial small subunit ribosomal RNA
Source: RNAcentral
AGUUAGGAAAUGUAAGUGCGCUAAUAUCGUGCUUAUUUGACAAAGGCUCCAAAGGAAGCCACGGCUAACUCUGUGCCAGCAGCCGCGGUAAUACAGAGGUGGCGAGCGUUGUUCGGAAUUAUUGGGCGUAAAGAGCACGUAGAUGGGUUUGCAAGUCAGAUGUGAAAGCCUUCUGUUCAACGGGAGAAUUGCAUCUGAAACUGCUAAUCUUGAGUAUAGGAGGGGAGAGUGGAACUUCUGGU